AUAGCACUCUUUGCACUCUAGUAUACUUGCUUGCCAUGUGGGAUCACACUAGUUUUGUGUUGGACAUAUUUGAGCAUGAUAGAAUCUGUGUACUACACAUUGCCAUCAUAUUGCUUAUAGCAUAGUAGUUUAUUUUAGCAUUCAAUACAUGCUUUCAUAUCUGCAGUUUAAUUCCAGUUGUUUAUCAUAUCUACCGUACUCUUUGGGCCUAGUG
RNAcentral lists this long non-coding RNA (214 nucleotides) under Ananas comosus (pineapple). RNAcentral describes it as "long non-coding RNA (ACOM_LNC039443)". The record is from RNAcentral. Lineage: Eukaryota; Viridiplantae; Streptophyta; Magnoliopsida; Poales; Bromeliaceae.